Ictalurus punctatus (channel catfish) is the source of this 1130-nucleotide long non-coding RNA. Lineage: Eukaryota; Metazoa; Chordata; Actinopteri; Siluriformes; Ictaluridae. The record is from Ensembl.
UCAGGGAUACCACUUAUCCUGCAUAGUUGCAGGGAACCUGGAGCCUAUCCCAGGGAGCAUCAGGCACAAAGUGGGGUACAUCCUGGAUGGGGUGCCAAUCCAUCGCAGGGUACAAUCUCAGACACAUUCACACACUAUGGACACUUUGGACAUGCCAAUCAGCUUGUCAUGCAUGUCUUUGGGAGGAAACGGAGAACCCGGUGGAAACCCCUACCGCAGGGAGAACAUGCAAGCUUCGCACACACAGUGGGCCAGCAGUGGGAAUCAAACCCCCAACCCUGGAGGCGUGAGGCGAAUGUACUAACCACUAAGCCACUGUGCACCUGGCUUUGAAAGAAAUGCAAAAUUAGAUGAAGAAAAAAAUCCAGACUGGAAUGUAAUUGACGUGGCCAUGGAUUCAACUUGCUCUGCAAGAGGAAAAGAAAUUGUAGAUGAGCCCCCUGUCUCGGAAAUAAGAAACAGAUGUCCUGCUUUUUUCACUUAUAGACAAGGCUUGAUCAGCACCUCCCAUGACUCCUGCAGUUCUACAACACCAAGAGAGUCAGUGAAAUACCAGAAAUCCAAAAUAUGAUGUGCCUUGAUAAAAAGGUAAGUCUAAUGAACUUCACAGUUAGUUAUGGUCAACAAAUGUGCCGAUAUCAAGCAUAACAGCACUGAUAGUUGCUGAUGAAAUAAACAUACACAGUAGAGCUGUCGCAAUUAAUAAAUAAACUUAUGAAUACGAUUACUUCAUGACCAUAGACAAAACUCUGUAAAUGUCAAAUCUUUUGUUGAAAUUCAGAUGACACCACUGAUAUAAAGAAUCUUCAACAACCAAGUUCUGCAGAAAGAUCUGCAAAUUUUGAAACCCUGUCAUUUGCCAAAGUUCUACAACAGGCAAGUUUGUAAUCUGUGUUUGGCGUAACACCAGUAACACCAACUAUUGCGGCAAGUCUAGCUGCUAAAAAUAGCACACUUUAGACCAGGUCCUGAGCAACAAUGUAAAAGUUAUUAAGAGAUCAUUUAGGCAGGCAAGCUUAGCUGCUAAAAAGAACACACUUUAGACCAGGUCCUGAGCAAUAAUGCAAAAGUUAUUAAGAGAUCAUUUAGGCACGAGAGAACACUUGAUUUGAACUUGUGCACCAUUAAAC